This 301-nucleotide ribosomal RNA is filed under the name uncultured bacterium. RNAcentral describes it as "partial 16S ribosomal RNA". It matches the Rfam family "Bacterial small subunit ribosomal RNA", at positions 509 to 809 of the family's 1533-position model. The record is from RNAcentral.
CAGCCGCCACGGUAAUACAGAGGGUGCGAGCGUUAAUCGGAUUUACUGGGCGUAAAGCGUGCGUAGGCGGCUUUUUAAGUCGGAUGUGAAAUCCCUGAGCUUAACUUAGGAAUUGCAUUCGAUACUGGGAAGCUAGAGUAUGGGAGAGGAUGGUAGAAUUCCAGGUGUAGCGGUGAAAUGCGUAGAGAUCUGGAGGAAUACCGAUGGCGAAGGCAGCCAUCUGGCCUAAUACUGACGCUGAGGUACGAAAGCAUGGGGAGCAAACAGGAUUAGAUACCAGUGUAGUCCCUGUCUCUUAUAA